GAUGAACGCUGGCGGCGUGCCUAAUACAUGCAAGUCGAGCGAACAGACGAGGAGCUUGCUCCUCUGACGUUAGCGGCGGACGGGUGAGUAACACGUGGAUAACCUACCUAUAAGACUGGGAUAACUUCGGGAAACCGGAGCUAAUACCGGAUAAUAUAUUGAACCGCAUGGUUCAAUAGUGAAAGACGGUUUUGCUGUCACUUAUAGAUGGAUCCGCGCCGCAUUAGCUAGUUGGUAAGGUAACGGCUUACCAAGGCGACGAUGCGUAGCCGACCUGAGAGGGGGAUCGGCCACACUGGAACUGAGACACGGUCCAGACUCCUACGGGAGGCAGCAGUAGGGAAUCUUCCGCAAUGGGCGAAAGCCUGACGGAGCAACGCCGCGUGAGUGAUGAAGGUCUUCGGAUCGUAAAACUCUGUUAUUAGGGAAGAACAAAUGUGUAAGUAACUAUGCACGUCUUGACGGUACCUAAGCAGAAAACCACGGCUAACUACGU
RNAcentral lists this ribosomal RNA (496 nucleotides) under uncultured bacterium. RNAcentral's name for it is "partial 16S ribosomal RNA". It matches the Rfam family "Bacterial small subunit ribosomal RNA", at positions 28 to 506 of the family's 1533-position model. The record is from RNAcentral.